RNAcentral lists this ribosomal RNA (460 nucleotides) under uncultured bacterium. RNAcentral describes it as "partial 16S ribosomal RNA". It matches the Rfam family "Bacterial small subunit ribosomal RNA", at positions 338 to 795 of the family's 1533-position model. The record is from RNAcentral.
CCUACGGGCGGCAGCAGUGAGGAAUAUUGGUCAAUGGGCGGAAGCCUGAACCAGCCAAGUAGCGUGCAGGAUGACGGCCCUACGGGUUGUAAACUGCUUUUAUACGGGAAUAACGCGCCUUACGUGUAGGGCUUUGCAUGUACCGUAUGAAUAAGGACCGGCUAAUUCCGUGCCAGCAGCCGAGGUAAUACGGAAGGUCCGGGCGUUCACCGGAUGUAUUGGGUUGAAAUGGAGCGUAGGCCGCAUGUCAAGCGUGCUGUGAAAUGUCCGGGAUAAACCCGGGCCUUGCAGCGCGAACUGGCGUGCUUGAGUCCGCGGAAGGCAGGCGGAAUUCGUCGUGUAGCGGUGAAAUGCUUAGAUAUGACGAAGAACCCCGAUUGCGAAGGCAGCUUGCUGCAGCGGAACUGACGCUGAUGCUCGAAAGCGCGGGUAUCGAACAGGAUUAGAUACCCCAGUAGUC